This is a long non-coding RNA of Salvelinus sp. IW2-2015, 1664 nucleotides long. RefSeq lists it as uncharacterized. Lineage: Eukaryota; Metazoa; Chordata; Actinopteri; Salmoniformes; Salmonidae. The record is from RefSeq and is a predicted model, not a curated record.
AUGCAGGGGUCGUUUGAAACCCAGGUUUACAAUAUCCUGCAAAACAGAUGCCUACCCCCRAACCAUAAAGUGUGUCGGUGUCUUUUAAAAACGGACACUUACGAUUCAUUAACACAUAGGUCUUUKAAAUCCUAAUUUAGCUCAGAAUCUAGGUGUUAUCCCGGAGGAUGUAGAAUAUCAAAAGGGUAAUACUGUCUCGACACCCCAAUCCUGUUGUUUGAACCCACUACCUUUGUAAUCAAAUAUACCGUUUGUUGCAUACCGGAUAGCGCCCGGGAAAAAAACGUCACCCCUGCUCUGUAAACUCAUUCCUUAGUAUCUGGUGUUAGGGGCACAACCGCGGAACGAGUCUUGUGAAAAAGAUAAGUCCCCAUUCUGRUAGAACCGUUUUAGCYCAGCUGCAAUCCCACAGGCCUGCAAACCCCAAUAGUUAUCGGACUGAACAGUUAAAAAAAGAUCCUCUGGGAAUCCCGCCUAAUGGAGCUUUCUGAAGGAUAUGCAACAUUAAGCCAACUGCAUCCCGGGGAUAAAUUAUAUGGAACAGCCUUCAUUAGAAUGGAAUUCCGAUGAGCAACGGAUGGACACAUAAUUUUACGAGAUAUCGAUAUGUCAACUGUAUGUAUUUUUUAUGAUAAAAUGUACACCCGACAUCGAAAACCAUACACCCCUGGAGGGCAUGAUCGAAAAGGAAGGGGUACCCCCGGAACAUGAAGAGUAAAACCUUGAAUUCGGACGAUUUCCCCGCUUCAAAUGACAUUUCGGAGGUCUCUGAUUUGCGAUUGUUUGUGAUGGGCAGAAAACAGGUUAAGGACAACUCCGAGGCUGAAACAACAUUCAGUCAUGAUAUUCUAAAACAGGAAGACAACGAUUUUUACAGAUAUUCAGAAACGGAUGGACAAUAAUUAUUAUUUGUUUUGUUUUUUAAAUAUAUUUUUUUAGGCAAUACGUCAAAUGGACAUAUUCUUAUAAGUAAAAAUGUAUCUAUUUCGUAUAAAUACAGGUUAACAUUAUCUAAUGUCUGUAUGAUACCCAGAGGCUACCGGGCAUAAUUGAUUGGGAACCGACAGAGUUAGACGGGGAUUCUCAGAAGGAAACUGCGCCCGGUCCAUUACGUAGCCCUUCAACAUCACACUAUUUUCGACCGGACAGCCAACAAACAGGGGUACAUGCUGCAUUAGGGACUCUGAACGACUUCGGAAGAGCAGAUGAAACAGAUGCUAUUCUACGGUUUUGGACUAACGGCCUUACCCUAACUCCAGACACCAGUCAGCAGUCCCAGAACAGAUAAAACAAUAAUCGGUGAAUCRUUCCUUCCUCAUGGAACUUUUUGAAGGGGAGUUGAAUAUUCAAGGUGAUGUUUGUAUACAGAUAUAUAUUAUUUAAGAAUGACAGGUAUUAAUUCUUGGCAUUUACAUGUAUGUUUUUAAAAUUUUUAUGAAGGCUAUUUAUCCAAUGAACCAUUGUUUUAAUUCAAACUGUUUGUAAACAAUAGCUUCUUCCCUCGUAGGGUCUACUUGACCCGCUUAUUAAAUCAGACCUCUCAGACUAGAAAGUAUGAUUAGAAACCAUGGCCAACUAUAUUCAAUCUGUGAUUAGAAACGAUAAUUAGAAGCUAUGACAAAACUAUGAUCAAACUAUGAUAACUAUGAACAACUAUGAAGACA